Molecule: long non-coding RNA, 11571 nt
Organism: Dama dama (fallow deer)
Lineage: Eukaryota; Metazoa; Chordata; Mammalia; Artiodactyla; Cervidae
Exons: 5
Source: RefSeq, a predicted model, not a curated record
CUCGCGGUCUCAGAAGGCAAGCAUCCCUUGAGGGUGCGCACGUUGCAACUCGCCGCUCCCCGGCUUCCGCGGCAGCAGUUUCGCCCCGCCCGGGACGGGAGCCGCGCGCGCUCCGUCAGCCCCGCUUUCCUUCUUGCCCUGCGGUCGUGCCCUGCAGCCUUCGGCCGCGCGCUCCCGCCGACCCGCCGGCACCCAGCCCGCAGGGCCGAGCCUGAUGCUGGGAAAGAUUGAAGGCAAAAGGAGAUGGGGGCGGCAGGAGAUGAGAUGGUUGGAUAGCGUCACGGACUCAUUGGUCAUGAAUUGAACAAACUUCGGGAGAUAGUGGAGAACACGAAAGCCUGGCGUGCUGCAGCCCAUGGGGUCACAAAGAACUGGAUAGGACUGAGCGACUGAACAACAAUUUGACAGAUGAGAAAAACUGAAACUCACAAGGUGCGCUAACUAGGUAGAGCGAACAUCUUCAGUUUUACCUUCUUAACUUCUCCCAGACCACCCCAGCCCCGUCCCUGACAAACACCACCUCCCAGAGAAGCCUGGAGCAGAAUCCAUACCUAGGGCUCCACAAGACGAGCACCCUCACUGAGCCACGUUCCCAACGAAACCUCUCAGUGGACAUUGUUCUGUGACCUUGAUCUUCUGAAAGCCACCCAUUCUUCCCCAGAUAGCCACGUUUCCUACCGCACGAUGUAGAAUUCGACCCCAGCCUGUACAGGAACCAUCCCUUGGUCUGCUGUCAACCCCCUGUGAAAGCCGUGUUAUGAAAUCAUGAUGCUAAAUUGUGAAACCAGUGAUGCUGGGAAACAGGGACUCAAGCAGACAGGCAAGGAGAGACUCAUGAAUAAGGCAGACGAAAAAUAUUUUCACCUUUCCUAAAACAGCAGGAGAGAGCCUACUUUCUAGUGGUUUGAUAAAUUGAGUAGCCUCAAGAUAACAUCAGCCUGACCCACUCAGAAGAUGCUUCAGGAAGACGGUGCUGCACCUCUGCUCCCCAAUUCGGAACUUUGAUGGUGUUUUGUGGCAGUCACAGAACUCCAUUUGGGUCACACUGAUCAUCAGGUCAUGUAAAAACACCAGAUUGUUUAAACUGAAAUCUUUCCAUUUUGAGCAACUUCUGUCCCCUACCAUUUUAUGUUUGAGUAGUCUUAAAAAAAAAAAGGCAUCCAAGAUUUUUCAGUACAGUUCUCUUUGUUGGUUUUAGGGCAAGCUUCCAGCCUAACUGCUUCAGUUUAUGCCCUGACCAUGGAUGGCAGCAUGAAGCAAAUGGAAGGGCUGCAGAGGAGCAGAUAUGAAACCAUGGCUGAAGGCAAAGUACAUCAUGUGAAAUGCUGCACUGGAUGAAGCACGCUGGAAUCAAGAUUGCUGGAAGAAAUAUCAAUAACCUCAGAUACACAGAUGACACCACCUUUAUGGCAGAAAGUGAAGAAGAACUAAAGAGCCUCUUGAGGAAAGUGAAAGAGGAGAGUGAAAAGGUUGGCUUAAAACUCAAGAUUCAUAAAACUAAGAUCAUGACAUCUGGCCCCAUCACUUCAUAGCAAAUAUAUGGGGAAACAGUGGACACAGUGACAGACUUUAUUUUGGGGGGCUCCAAAAUCACUGCAGAUGGCAAACAGGCUGUAUGCCAGGCAUUCUAGAAAAUGAACUGAGAACAAGCGUCAUGAAAUCAAAGGAUGCUUGCUCCUUGGAAGAAAAGCUAUGACCAACCUGGACACCAUAUUAAAAAGCAGAGACAUUACAUUGCCAACAAAGGCCUAUCUAGUCAAAGCUAUGGUUUUUCCAGUCAUCAUGUAUGGAUGUGAGAGUUGGAUUAAAAAGAAACCUGAACACUGAAGAAUUGAUGCUUUUGUACUGUGGUGUUCAAGAAGACUCUUGAGAGUCCCUUGGGCUGCAAGGAGACCCAACCAGUCAAUCCUAAAGGAAAUCAGUCCUGAAUAUUCAUUGGAAGGACUGAUGCCGAAGUUCCAAUACUAUGGCCACCUGAUGCAAAGAGCUGACACAUUGGAAAAGACCCCGAGGCUUGGAAAGAUUGAAAUCAAAAGAAGGGGAUAGCAGAGGAUGAGAUGGUUAGAUAGCAUCAUCAACUCAAUGCACAUUAAUCUGAGCAAAAUCUGGGAGAUAGUGAAGGACAGGGAGCCUGGCAUGCUGCAGUCCCUGGGUUGCAAAGAUUUGAACAAGACUUAGCAACUGAACAACGAGCACACAGUAAGAACAAGCUUUGUUGGCCUCCAUUCCAGACUUGUUAUGUGAAUUUAUCAAGGACUUCUGUGUUCUAUACCUUUUAGCAAUUAAGUAAUUUUGCACCUGUAUUCAACAAAUUAUGAUUGAAUGAACUUUUGGUUGUUCAUGGAUUAUGUACACAUAACUUUACAACUGACUGCUGUGUCAGGAACAUGCCUCCUUUGACCUUUGGGGCUCAUUCAUCAACACUUCUGGAAAUCCUCUGGUGGAGUCAUAUUUGAACUUAAAUGCCACAGUGGAAAACUUGUCUCUGGUUUGUAGAUUCUUUUUAUUUUCAUCCAGAAGCAUGCUUUCAAAUUUGAUCAUUGACCCUAUUCACCAGGUUUAGACGCUGUCAAAAAGAAAGUCCAUUCUCAGUAGGUCAAGUUGUGAUCUCUAAGAACAGUCAGGUGAGAGGCAACUGCCAUCCUAUUGGGUGGGGCACAAGUGGAGUCCAUGCAGAGCCUCCCUUGUUAAAUCACUUGGUUAGACACAGAUCACCCUCUUGACUAAGGAGGCCAUUGCUCUAGAGGAGAACCCCAAGAAUUUCUCAGUCCUAGAAGCUGUUGUCCUUAUUAUCAAGAUGUCCUCUUUUUUUAAAAAGCACUUUUCUCUUGAACUCUUCAAAUACCUACUGAAUUAGUUGAAGAACUAAACCUCACAGAACCAGUUUCUAGAUCCUUCCUUCAGCGGCUGUGCUGUGCAGUAGCAGCCGAGAGGAGAUACACAGGUCAGGAGCAGCGGCCGAGAGGAGCUACCCCUCGUCCACCCCACAUCCAAGGUAAGAGAAACCCCAGUAAGACGGUAGGCACUGGGAGAGGGCAUCAAAGAGCAGACAGACUGGAACCACAAUCACAGACAACUAGCCAAUCAGAUCACACAGACCACAGCCUUGUCUAACUCAGUGAAACUAAGCCAUGCUGUAUGGGGCCACCCAAGAUGGACGGGUCAUGGUGGAGAAGCCUGAUAGAAUGUGGUCCACUGGAGAAGGGAAUGGUCAACCACUUCAGUAUUCUUGUCUUGAGAACCCCAUGAACAGCAUGGAAAAGCAAAAAGGUAGGACACUGAAAGAUGAACUCCCCAGGUCGGUAGAUGCCCAAUAUGCUACUGGAGAUCAGUGGAGAAGUAACUCCAAAAAGAAUGAAGUGAUGGAGCCAAAGCAAAAACAAUACCCAGUUGUGGAUGUGACGUGAUAGAAGCAAGGUCGGAUGCUGUAAAGAGCAAUAUUGCAUGGGAACCUGGAAUGUUAGGCCCAUGCAUCAAGGCAAAUUGGAAGUAGUCAAACAGGAGAUGACAAGAGUGAACAUCAACAUUCGAGGAAUCAGCGAACUAAGAUGGACUGGAAUGGGUGAAUUUAACUCAGAUGGCCAUUAUAUCUACUACUGUGGGCAGGAAUCCUUUAGAAGAAAUGGAGUACCCAUCAUAGUCAACAAGAGUCCGAAAUGCGGUACUUGUAUGCAAUCUCAGAAACAACAGAAUGAUCUCUGUUCAUUUCCAAGGCAAACUAUUCAAUAACACGGUAACCCAAGUCUAUGCCCCAACCAGUAAUGCUGAAGAAGCUGAAGUUGAAUGGUUCUAUGAAGACCUACAAGACCUUCUAGAACUAACACCCAAAACAGAUGUCCUUUUCAUUAUAGGGGACUGGAAUGCUAAAGUAGGAAGUCAAGAAACACCUGGAGUAACAGGCAAAUUGUGCCUUGGAGUACAGAAUGAAGCAGGGCCAAGGCUAAUAGAGUUCUGCCAAGAGAACGCACUGGUCAUAGCAAACAUCCUCUUCCAACAACACAAGAGAAGACUCUACACAUGGACAUCACCAGAUGGUGAACACUGAUAUCAGACUGAUUAUAUUAUUUGCAGCCAAAGAUAGAGAAGCUCUAUACAGUCAGCAAAAACAAGACCGGGAGCUGACUGUGGCUCGGAUCAUGAACUCCUUAUUGCCAAAUUCAGACUUAAAUUGAAGAACUAGGGAAAACCACUAAACCAUUCAGGUAUGACCUAAAUCAAAUCCCUUAGGAUUAUACACUGGAAGUGAGAAAUAGAUUUAAGGGACUAGAUCUGAUAGACAGAGUGCCUGGUGAACUGUGGACGGAGGUUCAUGACAUUGUACAGGAGACAGGAAUCAAAAUCAUCCCCAAGAAAAAGAAAUGCAAAAAAGCAAGAUGGCUGUCUGAGGAGGCCUUACAAAUGCUGUGAAAAGAAGGGAAGUGAAGGACAAAGGAGAAAAGGAAAGAUAUAUGCAUUUGAAUGAAGAGUUCCAUAGACUAGCAAGGAAAGAUAAGAAAGCCUUCCUCAGUGAUCAAUGCAAAGAAAUAGAGGAAGACAAUAGAAUGGAAAGACUAGAGAUCUCUUCAAGAAAAUGGAAGAUACCAAGGGAAUAUUUCAUGCAAAGAUGGCUCAAUAAAGGACAGAAAUAGUAGGGACCUAACAGAAGCAGAAGAUUUUAAGAAGAGGUGGCAAGAAUACACAGAAGAACUGUACAAAAAAAAUCUUCACGACCCAGAUAAUCACGAUGGUGUGCUCACUCACUUGGAGCCAGACAUCCUGGAAUGUGAAGUUAAAUGGGCCAUAGGAAGCAUCACUAUAAACAAAGCUAGUGGAGUUGAUGGAAUUCCAGUUGAGCUAUUUCAAAUCCUGAAAGAUGAUGCUGUGAAAGUGCUGCACUCAAUAUGCCAGCAAAUUUGGAAAGCUCAGCAGUGGCCACAAAACUGGAAACGGUCAGUUUUCAUUCCAACCCCAAAGAAAAGCAGUGUAAAGAAUGCUCAAACUACCACACAAUUGCACUCAUCUCACACGCUAGUAAAGUAAUGCUUAAAAUUCUCCAAGCCAAGCUUCAGCAAUACGUGAACCGUGAACUUCCAGAUAUUCAAGCUGGUUUUAGAAAAGGCAAAGCAACCAGAGAUCAAAUUGCCAACAUCCGCUGGAUCAUUGAAAAAGCAAGAGAGUUCCAGAAAAACAUCUCUUUCUGCUUUAUUGACUAUACCAAAGCCUUUGACUGUGUGGGUCACAAAAAACUGUGGAAAAUUCUUCAAGAGAUGGGAAUACCAGACCACCUGACCUGCCUCUUGAGAAAACUGUGUGCAGGUCAGGAAGCAGCAGUUAGAACUGGACAUGGGGCAACAAACUGGUUCCAAAUAGGAAAAGGAGUACGUCAAGACUGUACAUUGUCACCGUGCUUAUUUAACUUAUAUGCACAGUACAUCAUGAAAAAUGCUGGGCUGGAGGAAGCACAGGCUGGAAUCAAGAUUGACAGGAGAAAUAUCAAUAACCUCAGAUAUGCAGAUGACACCACCCUUAUGGCAGAAAGUGAAGAAGAACUAAAGAGCCUCUUGAUGAAAGUGAAAGAGGAGAGUAAAAAAAGUUGGCUUAAAGCUCAACAUUCAGAAAACUAAGAUCAUGGCAUCUGGUCCCAUCACUUCAUGGGAAAUAGAUGGGGAAACAGUGGAAAUAGUGGCUGACUUUAUUUUUCUGGGCUCCAAAAUCACUGUAGAUGGUGACUGCAGCCAUGAAAUUAAAAGACGCUUACUCCUUGGAAGGCAAGUUAUGACCAACCUAGAUAGCAUAUUGAAAAGCAGAGACAUUACUUUGUCAACAAAGCUCUGUCUAGUCAAGGCUAUGGUUUUUCCAGUGGUCAUGUAUGGAUGUGAGAGUUGGACUAUAAAGAAAGCCGAGCACCAAAGAAUUGAUGCUUUUGAACUGCGGUGUUGGAGAAGACUCUUGAGAGUCCCUUGUUCUGCAAGCAGAUCCAACCAGUCCAUCCUAAAGGAAAUCAGUCCUGAGUGUUCAUUGGAAGGACUGAUGUUGAAUUUGAAACUCCGAUACUUUGGCCACCUGAUGAGAAGAACUGACUCAUUUGAAAAGACCCUGAUGCUGGGAAAGAUUGAAGGCAGCAAGAGAAGGGGACAACAGAGGAUGAGAUGGUUGGAUGGCACCACCGACUCAAUGGACAUGGGUUUGAGUGGACUCCAGGAGUUGGUGAUGGACAGUGAGGCCUGGCGUCCUGCGGUUCAUAAGUUCGCAAAGAGUCAGAGAUGACUGAGCGACUGAACUGAACUGACUGAAUGAAUCAUUCAUAAGGAACUAAUUAUAAAUAUAAGAACUGUGUUAUAGCAAAUAGCAGUUGGGGCCUGCAGUGUUAUUUCACAUAUACUAUGAAUGUUUUCUCACAAUGCGCUUCCCUUCCAUGUUGUCUUUACUUCAUUCAUAUUUGUAAUGAACCUUAGAAAAAGCAUGUAUUUGAGAUGUUAUUUCCCUCAGAUUUAAUCUCCAAUCUCUUUCUCCCUAAGUUUCACCAGUGCAAUAGAUACCCUCAGUCCCUUUCAGAGACAAAACAAAGGACAACUGUAAAAAUUCCAGAUAUUUGAGUUUGAGUUAUCUGCCAUAAUUAUUUAUAAUAUUAAAUCAUCCCUCUAUCACUGAAAUUUUGCAGCUUGAGUUUGAGUUAUCUGCCAUAAUUAUAAAUACUGUAAAGUCAUCUCUGCUGGGAGUCAUUAUGGGAGAUCCCACCCAUGAUGAAGUCAUGAAGAGAAGACCUGACAGGCAAGGCCAUUCAGGAUAUGAAGGACCUUUUAGCGAACAUCUCAGGAUGGCAUCAAACAUUAUUUAUUUGUAGUUCUAAAUCUCUUUAGUUUUUCUGUAAAAGUUUUUUUUUUAGAAAUUAUCACUGGUAUUUAUGUUCACCAAUCUAUAAAAUGCUAAUAAAAAAAUCAAUUCUUGGUUGCUUAAGGAAAGUAAGAUGUGUGUGUUCAGUAAAAAAGGUUAUGAGAAAUAAAGUUACAUUUUAUGAAGAAAAAAGGAAGUAAGUCUGACUUACAGUUGGCUCUUACAGGAUGGGAGAACAAAUGGGUACAAAAACUGAUAAAAAGGUUUUAUGGAAACUGGACCCCAAGGGAAGAGUUUUGUGUAUAAAUACAAGUUUUCUUAAGAUGUUAAACUGCCUUUGACAAUGGAUUUUAAGUUUCUUUACCUCUGAAGUGAUCUGUUCUAUGUUUACCUUUGAAAUCUUCUUUUUUACUUUGGCUAAGUAAAUAUAUUAUUUCACAGUGAUCUAUAUGAUUCUACCUGACAGAGUACUAUAAACCCUUUUGAUAUUUAUUGACAAAACUGCCUAAAUAGCUUGACUUCUAGCUGACUUUGGGAUGCUUCAGAGGGCCCCUGAGACAUCCCAAAGAGCUAUUAAACUACCUGAGUUCAUUUGACAUGCUAAAUUGCAUGGGAAAUAUUGUUGGAGGAGUAAUAAACCUUCUCAGGUUAUAUUGUAUGGUUACUUAUAUAGAUAUCCUAAAAAUUAUGAGAAAUUCAUAAUCUGUCCUGGUAAAAUGUUGUCAGUUAUAAUUUUAGUUAUCAUGUUAAAGUGUUACAAGUCACAGCAAUGACUAGGUUACUUUGUUAAUUACAAUGUAAUUAGAUUUUAAACAUGUCUUGUAUGGUUUCACUCUCAUUGCCUUUAAAAAAAUACUGCUAGUUCUUCAAGAUUUAUAAAAAAAAAAGACUUUUCUAAGAUUAACUGAAAAUUUUUGUUUGUUUGCUCUCUGGUAAAUUGGUAACAGACUAGAAUUUAGUCUACUCUCUAUGUUAAGGGAACAAAGUUUUCUUAAAAUAAAUAUUUCAAUGACAGAUUAUGAAUUUCUUUGCCUUUAAGUGAUUUAUGUUUGUUUUUAAAAUCUUUUGUUACUUUAGUAAAGUAAAUAAGUGCUAUUUAAGAUUAUAGUACAUGUAAAAGCUCAUUUUGCUUCUACAAAAAAAUAACCCCUCACUGUUAGACUUGUGCUAUCAUAAAACAUGUCCUUAAAACACGGCAACAGUCUACUCCUAAAUCGGAAAAUUAAAAAUGGGUGAACAAUAGCUGAAAAUCAAAGAGUCGGGGCUAUAGAAAAUCCAAGAUGGCCGCUUGGCUUUUCCCAGCUCCCUGACAAACCUCAUUUUUAUUUGAUGGGUUAAAGCCUUCCCUGACUACAGGGUUAAUGCCUCCAUAAUGAAAAAGCACUGAAUAUUAAGUUUUGUAAAUUGUUAAACUAAGUUUCUAAUUUUGUUAAUUAAGGUCUAGUGUUUACUAAGACUCACUUCUGAGACAGUUCCUUGUGGUUAUGUUAUAUUGCUAAGAGGUUUAAUUAAGUUAUUACAAAGGACAAUUUGAGUUUGUUUCUAAAGCUUGUCUCAGUAACCUGUUUUUGAAUAAAGAUCAGAUGCUCCAUAAUGUACAACCAGGAGAUUAACACCAGGCUAUAGUCAGUUAACAAAUGAAGUCAGAUGACCUGGGGUAUACCAGGCUCUACCUAUUGAAAGUUCUUGACUUAUAAUUCUUACUUAUGACUUUACUAAUAACUGCUAGCUAUAGCUGUAUUAUUUUCUAUGUCACUUGUUUCAGAAGAUUAUUUCUUACAUUAACAAAUGUGUGACUGAGCCUGUGAUAUAAUGUUGAUAUGCAGUUCCAUAUGAGAUCAAUGAUUGUAAUAAUGUAACUCUAGAUAUGGGAAGAAGCAACAAGAGGAAAUAUUUUCCUGGACCAAGAGGCUAGUAAGACAGUGGUCCAGAGACUUUUGCUACUUGCAAGGCCUGGUCCAAUAACAGCACACUGAGUGGCCUAUCAAUGGAAUCUCCCCUAGACCUGGGAAUGAGCCUUUCCAGCACUGUGGGACACAAUGACCAUAAAAUGCCCCCCAAACAUGGUCAUAUAUGUGGCUAUGAAGGGACCCUGCUGACUAGAAGUUGGUACUUGCCAGCUGCCUCUACAAAGAUUACAUCAUGACCACUGCAAGCUGCUGACCUUUCACACCCCCUAAAAGGAGUUCAGGGUGGAGAUCAGAAAUAAGGCACUCUGUGCUCUGGGAAAAACCCAGAAAAACCAGCCUUCAGAUAGUCAGAUGUUUUCAGGUAAAGAUUUUAUGAGCCCAAAUUCUUGCAUCUUCUCGUACCUAAAUAAACACUAACAUCAUGAACCAAUGUCUGGUCCUGGUUCUCCUGGUAGCCCCUGAACAGCUUUUCUACUUCUAUUAAUCUUUGGGCCAGGUACCUUUAACUUUCUUGUUAAGUCUGUUUCUUCCAGAAUACAACAGACCUCCAAGUGGUAAUAUGACAAGAAUAUUCCCUGACUAACACCUAGACAAUGCUGAAACAAGUCACCUUAUCAUUCCUUGGACUCUUAUCAUCCCGUGAUAUUCCCUGAUACAAAAUCACCAAUUUGGGUCCCAGACAGAUUGAUUUGACAUGUCGCAGAUCUUCAAGCAUCCGACCCCAAAAAAGGAAGGGAGCUCCUCUAUCUCUACCACCCCCACCUAAUUGGAGAAGUCAAAUAAAUCAGCCGCAGAUGAUGUCAGAAAUUGCUUUAAAAAGGUCGGAAAGACCCUCCCACCAAGCAGAUGUCAUGGCUUUGCUUAGGUGGUCAUGAUCCUCCCACUUCUUCACGCCGCAGGAGACCACCAAGACGACCGGCACAUUCAACACAACGAGCUUCUCUCCCUACCUGGGGACAAAUCAAGAUGCUCUGUCAUCAAGCACAAGAGAUAGCAUCCCUACAAGGAUCUCCAUCCUCCCCUGAAAGAAUCUUUAUUGCCAUUCUUGCUUUACUUUCUUGUCAGCGCCUGCCUUAUCCUGUGGUACCGGUUACAAUAACUACUCAUUGGUAUGAUAAUUAUGGUCUAGCUGUGCUUCAACAAUUAUGAAAUCUGAUGUGCUCUAAGCAAUUUAUAAGAUUGCUUGUUAUAGGAAUUUCAGCAUUAAUUACUGCUAUUACCUCUGUCUCUGUAGCAGCAAUUGCAUUAACCCAGCAAACACAUACUGCACAGUAUGUUAAUACUAUGUCAAAAAAUGUCUCCUUAGCUCUAGCCACUCAAGAGGUCACAGACAGAAAAUUAGAAAUAAAAGUAGAUGCCCUAGAGGAAGUGGUGAUGCAUAUCGGAACAGAACUGAAAGCCCUAAAAGUAAAUCAGCACUGUCCUGUCAUGCCAACUAUUGGUGGACUUGUGUAACACCCUUAAAGUUUAAUGAGACUGAUUACAAUUGGGAAAAAAUUAAAAAUCAUAUUUCAUGGGUAUGGAAUAGCUCUAGCAUAAGUUUAGAUUUAGACAGACUGCAUGGACAGAUUAGAACAAUCGAGCAUUCCCGACUAGAUUUUACUGCCGCUGGAGCUGCCAGUGAUUUCUUUGAAAUCCUCUCCAACUUUACCUCUGCCAAAAAUAUUUUCUCUACUAUUUUCAGCUACAUUGCUGUAAUAGCACUGAUCCUUAUUAUUAUUGUUAUCCUCCCUUGUAUUGUCAGAGCUCUUCGGCAGAGCACUCAGAACUUUGCAACUGAGAUCCAUCUGGCUGUUUUAAAAAAUAAAAAAGGGGGAGAUGCUGGGAGCCAUUAUGGGAGAUCCCGCCCAUGACAAGGUCAUGAGGAGAAGACCUGACACGCAAGGCCAUUCAGGAUACGAGGGAUCCUCCAGGUUGACCCCGGCCUCUACCCCACCCUAUAUCCUCCCCCCUUUACUGCUGUUGUUCUUGUUCGCCCUGCUGCAGAUUCCUGUGUUGCCUGCCGAGAGCUCUCCUGCUCCUCUUUCACCGAAUAAAGACCAACUUAAAACCCUAAUUAAUAAAUCUCCUAGACGCUGGUACCCUACGAAGGGGCCAGGGACAAACAAAUGCUUCAAUUCAAACCCUUUUGCUGGCAUUCUGGCUUGUUUGGCAAAUGUGUGCUCCCAUUGCAAAAAAAUGCUCAUGAUUGUUCUAAACAUCCUAAGCACAGUACACUAAUGAAAGAAACCAUUAAGCAUAGGUCCCUCCGCGGGGUGAAAAAAAAGCUCCAUAAAUAAAAUAGUCAAAUAGUCAAAAAUAGCAGUAAUGUCCCCUGUAUUAAAGAAGAUUAAAAAUGUUACUGCUUCAUGGUAAGUAACAUAGCUGGAGGUGCUAGACAAAGGUUAUUGUGUUAGAGCCGCAAGAUGUGCCUAAUAGAAAAUAUAUUAGAUAGAGAUUAGCUGGUGACUUCUUGCAGGUAGUUAACUUUUAGACUAAGAGCCUGUUUUGUGCCAUAUCUGCUGUUUCUGCAGUCCUUCGCAUUUCUGUUCUGUAAAAAUGUAAUCCUAUCUAAUUCCCAUAGAGAUGACGCUUAUUAGAAAGAAAAUAGAUUAAUUAUAAGAAAAACAGGGUUGGCUACUGAAGUUGCUUAAGUCACACCAGGUGCAAGCCAUAAAAUAUUAGCAGGCCUGAAGGCCAAAUGAUAAGAAAGACUCUUGUGAACGAAAGUAUGUGGGUGAAAUCCUGUUUCUGUUGAAGGUCAAGUUGCUGCAAUGUUUUGAGAUGACCUGUGUGUAAGCAAUAUGCACUUCCCCCAAAAAGAAGUUGUUAAGGGUAUAAAGGGGCCGUGCAAAAAUAAACUUCAGAC